Long non-coding RNA from Erinaceus europaeus (western European hedgehog), 242 nucleotides. RefSeq lists it as uncharacterized. The transcript has 5 exons. Lineage: Eukaryota; Metazoa; Chordata; Mammalia; Eulipotyphla; Erinaceidae. The record is from RefSeq and is a predicted model, not a curated record.
CUUCUCUUCUACCCUGGUGGGCACUACUGCUUCCUCGGUGGGCAUUGUCACAACCACAAGAGUUUUUCCUCAGGGAUCCUCUGCUGACACAGCUCCAGGAGUCUCAAGCAAUGGAAUUCCUCCAGAACUCGUUGAAUUGCCAUCAAAACAGCCAGAAGUAACAGAAACCACUGGAAAAGGAGAAGAAGACCAAGAAGCAAAAUAUAAAACAGGUUGUCCAGCUGCCCUGCCUCCGCCUCCAG